Molecule: transfer RNA, 61 nt
Filed under: Dilophotes sp. T LB-2014
Lineage: Eukaryota; Metazoa; Arthropoda; Insecta; Coleoptera; Lycidae
Description: partial tRNA-Ser
Source: RNAcentral
AAAGAAAUAAUUUUAAAAAGCUUCUAACUUUUAUUAGAGCAAUAGCCUGUUCAUAUUUCUU